AGCCAUGCGAGUCGAGAGGUUCGGUCCUCGGCGCACCGCUCAGUAACACGCGGAUAAUCUGCCCUUGGGUCGGGGAUAAUCUCGCGAAAGUGAGGAUAAUACCCGAUAGGUCUGAGAUGUUGGAAUACUCCCAGGCCUAAAGUCGAGGCGCCCAAGGAUGAGUCUGCGGCCUAUCAGGCUGUAGUGGGGGUAACGGCCCCACUAACCUAUUACGGGUACGGGUCUUGGGAGAGAUUGCCCGGAGAUGGGUUCUGAGACAUGAACCCAGGCCCUACGGGGCGCAGCAGGCGCGAAAACUUCGCACUGUGGGAAACCACGACGAGGGAAUUCCAAGUGCCUAUGUUUUACAUAGGCUGUUUAUCUGUUUAAAUUGCAGGUAGAGUAAGGGCUGGGUAAGACGGGUGCCAGCCGCCGCGGUAAUACCCGCAGCCCAAGUGGUGUUCGUUAUUAUUGGGUCUAAAACGUCCGUAGCCGGCUUAGUAAAUUCCUGGGGAAAUCGAACGGCUUAACCGUCCGAAGUCCGGGGAGACUGCUAGGCUUGGGAUCGGGGGAAGUUCGAGGUACUUUUGGGGUAGGGGUGAAAUCCUGUAAUCCUAAAAGGACCACCAGUGGC
This 613-nucleotide ribosomal RNA is filed under the name uncultured archaeon. Its description in RNAcentral is "bacterial SSU rRNA". It matches the Rfam family "Archaeal small subunit ribosomal RNA", at positions 47 to 667 of the family's 1478-position model. The record is from RNAcentral.